AGACCCUGUACGUGCGAAGAGUGUGGCAAGGCCUUUGGACAGAGAAGUCACCUUGUUCAGCACACCAGUGAGAAGCUGUAUGCAUGCCAGGAAUGUGGGUGUACCUUCAGCAACAAUUCAUCUCUAGUCAAGCACUGGCACGUCCACACAGGCGAGAAGCCCUACAUGUGUGGCCACUGUGGCAAGUGCUUCCGAGAGAGCUCAUCCCUUGCCAAGCACCAGCGUGUGCACACAGGUGAGAAGCCAUACGUGUGUGGUGAGUGUGGACGCACCUUCAGCGAGAGCACACACCUUGUACAGCACUGGUGAUUCCACACCGGGGAAAAGCCAUUUGCCUGCCAAGAGCAGCAAAGCCUUUGCUGACUUCUCGGCCCUCCUUGCAUGCCACGGAACCUACACGGGUGAGAGGCCCUACGAGUGCCGGGUAUGCUGCAAGGCAUUCAGCCCCAGCUUGUCCCUGGCUGAGCACAUACGCUGCCACACGGGAGAGAAGCUGUAUGCGUGUCAGGAAUGUGGGAAAGCUUUCAGCCACAGCUCAUCCCUCAGCAAGCACCAGCAGGUACACACAGGUGAGUGGCCCUAUGUGUGUGCAGAAUGUGGAAAGGCCUUCAGCCAGGGGUCCUACCUGACCCAGCACCUCAAGAUCCACAGCGGUGAGAAGCCGUACAUACGUGGUGAGUAAAGGAAGCCAUUCGGUGACUCCUCAGCCCUGGUCCUACACCAGCGGGUGCACACAGGCGAGCAUCCUUAUGCAUGUGGAAAAUGUGGGAAGACUUUCAGCCACAGCAAGUUUCUCACCCAGCAUGAGCAAGUCCGCAUGGGAGAGAAGCCCUUCAUGUGUGGUGACUGUGGAAGAGCCUUCAUGCAAACCUCAUCCCUCGCCCUCCAUCAGAGGACUCACAAUGGGGAGAAGCCCUACAAGUGGAAUGAGUGUGGCAAGUCCUGCAUCCAGAUGUCACACCUCACCGAGUAUUACCAGGUACACGCUGGGGAACGACCCUUUCAGCCGUGGCACACACCUCACGCAGCACCAGCAUGUGCAUGCAUGUACCAAGCCAUUCAUAUGCCAUAUAUGUCAGAAAACCUUCCAGGAGGCCACAACUCUUGUACUACAUGAGAGGAUUCCCUGGAGAGAAGCCCUUUUGAGUGUUGUGAGUGUGGCAAAGCCUUCCGCCAAAGCAGAUUCCUGGCCCAGCACCAGAGAAUUCAUUCC
This 1213-nucleotide long non-coding RNA is filed under the name Homo sapiens (human). Its description in RNAcentral is "non-protein coding lnc-ERVK3-1-1:1". The record is from RNAcentral. Lineage: Eukaryota; Metazoa; Chordata; Mammalia; Primates; Hominidae.